This 565-nucleotide long non-coding RNA is filed under the name Mus caroli (Ryukyu mouse). Its description in RNAcentral is "lncRNA (MGP_CAROLIEiJ_G0006199.1)". The record is from RNAcentral. Lineage: Eukaryota; Metazoa; Chordata; Mammalia; Rodentia; Muridae.
AAUGGAGCCAUCCCUGGGCUGGUGGUCCUGAGUUUUAUAAGAAAGCAGGCUGAGCAAACCAGGGGAAGCAAGGCAGUAAGCAGCACCCCUCCAUUGUCUCUGCAUCAGCUCCUGCCUCCAGGUUCCACUCCUGCUUGAGUGCCUGUCUUGACUUCCUCCAAUGAUGGACUAUGAUCUGGAAAUGUAGAUUGAGCUAUUGCUUUCAAGGGUCAUUGCACAGCUCUCUGGGGACAAGUGUCCUGCCCAACCCCUUCUUAGAGGUUCCAGCAUAAAUGUUCUGCUCCAGUUAUGAGGAGGAAGCGGCAGCCAACGUGUCAACAGGUCUGGAAAACCAGAGAGACAAAUAAAGGAAGACCUGAAGUCAGAUGGAGACGGGGAGUGAGAGUUAUGAAAUUUUCAAGCUCAUUUUUAUCAUCAACAAACCUUCCCAUAAACUCUGUCCCAGGUGGCUGGGCAAACACUUGAGCCUUGAAAUGAAAUCUUGGAGUUAUUCCGUCACUCACACAGACUAAAUCCAUCCUGAAUUGUGUAAUAAACUUUAGCCUUUGGCAUUUUAUGAUUUCAA